RNAcentral lists this long non-coding RNA (333 nucleotides) under Ananas comosus (pineapple). RNAcentral describes it as "long non-coding RNA (ACOM_LNC031244)". Lineage: Eukaryota; Viridiplantae; Streptophyta; Magnoliopsida; Poales; Bromeliaceae. The record is from RNAcentral.
GCAUGCUUGCCAUUAUGCUCAUUCGCACAUGCUUGUGAGGGUCGUUCCUUACAGGCCGGCACUCCGAAGUUAGCCAUCGCGAUACAUAUUCGCCGUGCGGGAUUGGGCGCCGAAGUAGAUUGCCGUGGAAAAGGCUCAUUCCUAAGAGUGGGGAUGUUGACUACCACGGGGCCAUUAGGCACGGCACCGGCCAGACAGCCUACGGGUGGGUUUUACAGGCCAGACAGCCUUCGGGUGGGUCUUUAUGCCAAACAGCCUUCGGGUGGGUCUUAUAAGAUUAAACUUUCAACAGUUAAAGUGACAAGUGGACAUUGACUAGAAUAGUAAAUAAUG